Molecule: unclassified non-coding RNA, 306 nt
Filed under: plant metagenome
Description: partial contains 5.8S ribosomal RNA, internal transcribed spacer 2, and large subunit ribosomal RNA
Rfam family: 5.8S ribosomal RNA (bases 1-105)
Source: RNAcentral
GAAAUGCGAUAAGUAAUGUGAAUUGCAGAAUUCAGUGAAUCAUCGAAUCUUUGAACGCACAUUGCGCCCGCCAGUAUUCUGGCGGGCAUGCCUGUCCGAGCGUCAUUUCAACCAUCAAGCCCCCGGGCUUGUGUUGGGGACCUGCGGCUGCCCGCAGGCCCUGAAAACCAGUGGCGGGCUCGCUGUCGCACCGAGCGUAGUAGCAAUCACCUCGCUCAGGGCGUGCUGCGGGUUACGGCCGUUAAACAGCCUUACAAAACCCAAGGUUGACCUCGGAUCAGGUAGGAAGACCCGCUGAACUUAAGC